CAAUAGCGUAUAUUAAAGUUGUUGCAGUUAAAAAGCUCGUAGUUGGAUUUCUGGUUGGAAAGUCCGGUUCAGUUCGAAAGAGCUGUGUACUAGUUUGACAUUUCUGGCCAUCCUUGAGAGGAACAUGCUUGGCAUUAGGUUGUCGGGUAUGGGAUUCUCAUCGUUUACUGUGAACAAAAUAGAGUGUUCAAAGCAGACUUAUGUCUUGAAUACAUUAGCAUGGAAUAAUAAGAUAGGACUUUGGUACUAUUUUGUUGGUUUGCAUACCAAAAGUAAUGAUUAAAAGGAACAGUCGGGGGUACUCAUAUCUAAUUGUCAGAGGUGAAAUUCUUGGAUUUAUGAAAGAUGAACUUAUGCGAAAGCAUUUACCAAGGAUGUUUUCAUUAA
RNAcentral lists this ribosomal RNA (387 nucleotides) under uncultured eukaryote. RNAcentral's name for it is "partial 18S ribosomal RNA". It matches the Rfam family "Eukaryotic small subunit ribosomal RNA", at positions 592 to 976 of the family's 1831-position model. The record is from RNAcentral.